This is a long non-coding RNA of Medicago truncatula (barrel medic), 1129 nucleotides long. RefSeq lists it as uncharacterized. The record is from RefSeq and is a predicted model, not a curated record. The transcript has 4 exons. Lineage: Eukaryota; Viridiplantae; Streptophyta; Magnoliopsida; Fabales; Fabaceae.
CUCCCAUUUUUCUACUCUCUCUCUCUCUUCUCCCAAAUAAAAAAAACACAGUAUUACACUAUUACUACCUCUCCUCAAAGUCAUUUCCUCUUUUCUUUCUCUUUCACGAUUCAUUUCCCUCUUUCCGUUCUCUCAUACGCUCGAUCGCUCAAGCCUCCCUCAAACUCUCUCUCAGCAUCAUCGAUUCACUCUCUCCCUCUCUCGUCGCGAUGGCGAUACCCGCAACACCAUUGAUUCCCCUUUCUCUCGUGCCAUAGCGACUACAACAACAUCAAUCUAAAUCUUUGUUCUUGUUCUUGACGAUUAAAUCAUUAAUCAUAACAUUGUUUGACAUUCUCUUCUUGCCGGUGGGAUCUUCAGCUUGAACACGCUACCUACAAGAAUUGACAACAUCUUGACCUUCCGAGCAGUUUCAAUUAUUACGGCUUCAAAGUGCAUCGUGAAUGAGCUAAAGGAUUUGUAGAAGGACCCUUCAACAUCAUGCAGUACAGGAUAUGAACAAGUCCUAUCUUGGCUACCUCGGCGUGUAUGUUUUAUGAGUGGGUGUGGUGUCCGGAGGAGUGCUUGCGGCGGUAAGGAUGGAAGCUGUAGCCGUUUGACUGUUUUUUUAUGCAGAGGGGUGUGUUUUUAGUGUUGUUGCUGUCUGUGCUGUUUUUUGCUUCUGUGAUAGCCUUUCUGGUGUUUUUUUUUGCGGUAGGCUCCUGUUUUUUGCAGCUUGCAGCAGCUGCUGCUGUGUUUCUCUCCUCCCUGCUGUGGCAGUUUUUUGGUUUGUAGGCGUGUCCCCUUUCCGUUUGGUGUUUAGGCAGUUUCGGCAGGGCUAUGGAACUGAAAUUUGAUGAAGUGAAUUUAAUUUCAGAGUCAUAACUGUUGUCUCCUGGUGUUUGUUUUUGGGGAUUUCGCAGCCAUUGCCUUUUGUGGUUUUGCGGUGGUUUUAUACUAUUUGCGGUGUUUUUUUGGGAUGUUACGCCUAUAUGCGGCAUCAUUGUAUCUUUUUCACUGCCUCUUUGCGCCUUGCUAGACUAAGAUGGGUGAAAAGGGAUGAAAAGGAUAUGAACAAGAAAGAAUAUGUAAAUUGAAUAUUAUGCAAUUCUAUGAUAAUUUUGAAUAUACUAUGUUAUCUGAAUUUGAA